Molecule: ribosomal RNA, 119 nt
Filed under: Bombyx mori (domestic silkworm)
Lineage: Eukaryota; Metazoa; Arthropoda; Insecta; Lepidoptera; Bombycidae
Source: RNAcentral
GCUAACUUCAAUACCAUGUUGAAUACACCGGUUUUCGAUCGGUUACCGAAGUCAAGCAAUAUCGGGCGUGGUCAUUACUUGGAUGGGUAACCGCCUGGGAACAUUACGUGAUGCUGCCU